This is a long non-coding RNA of Mesocricetus auratus (golden hamster), 1467 nucleotides long. RefSeq lists it as uncharacterized. The transcript is spliced from 2 exons. NCBI's taxonomy places the organism in Eukaryota, Metazoa, Chordata, Mammalia, Rodentia, Cricetidae. The record is from RefSeq and is a predicted model, not a curated record.
UCCUUUAGUCAGCGGAUGACUAAAACUUUUCCUUUCCCUAAGUAUGCCAGUUUCUUUGUUACUCUUAUUUCUUUGGAGACAACCCUUCACUUUCCCUUGGAGGUUUAAUAGAAACCCAGUUGAUCUGCUUGAGAAGUCUGCUGUCCUAACACCUGACAACAUAAAUGCACAGUCACCAGGCUACUUAAGAAGGGCGCCAUCAAUUAGCCUCGGAACAUUGGUCGCUAAGGGGAGGGCUUGAACUUGUUUGCCAUUGAUCUCUGCAUUUUAAAUAAGAAUUUCCAAAACAGAAUUCCGUGGUUAUAUAACCAGUCCUUGAAACAAGUUUUACUACAUUUUGUUCAAACGUCAAGCUGAGUAAUCCAGUCAGAAACACGGGAUCCCGAGUCUUGCCAUCGAUACUCUGAAAGUGAGAUUUAUUGAGACUUCUUUCAUUGCCUCGGCUUCAUUACUUUUGAAAAUAUGCGAUGGUAUUACGCUUAGAUUUCCUGGGGUUCUUAAGGUCUUGUCAAAAACGAAACAAGCCCUUUCUGUGGUCUGAGUCUCCUGUUAGCACUGUGAAGAGGGGUGGCUUCGCCUUUGGAAUCUCUCUCAUUACUGAAAACAAAAUAUGCUCAACCCUUCCUUUCUCCAGCAGUCAUUUGUUCUUCCCGAUUCCGAGCCAGUAGUCAGUUUCACAUAUUUCAACUAAUGGCGUGAGUUGGUUGUCACUUAAACACGGGUUGCAUCCCUUUGCCCCCACCCCAUUUAGAAAUGUGAUGCCGUGUCUCUGCAGACCCAGUGCCGGCUCUGUCGGUCGCUGUGUGCCGGCGAGAGGGACGCUCAGCUCCUCUGCUAUGCUUUGUGGUUCUGGUCCAGACUUGAAGUAGGCUCGAUGUCAACCCGAAUGCACCUUGAGAGGCAUGAGCUGAGGCUCUCGUUUCCUGCCUGCCUGUGCCCCUCCAGAUGGAAUGCUGCUCUUCUGCCAAUGGAAAGUGGAGCCUGCUGUCCUGUUCCCCCAGAUUAAGGCUGCAGUUGGGCUGCUUCAUACCCAGAAGUGGCUCAAAAGAAAGACAGAAAGAAAAGAAAAUGUCAAAACCAACCCUAACCACAGUCGACAGUCUCAUGCUCCUCCUCCCAUCGAAGCCUUCUGAGAAGCAGGAUUACAGGUGUGCACCGCCUGUAAUUUCAAGUCUUCUGUGAAAUUUCUUUCCUGGAGAAUACGAAGAAGACUGCAACGAUUCUUAUAAAACAUCCCCACUCCAGAGUAUUGUAUCAUUUCUCCCACAAAUGCAUUUCAAAGCCUCAUGCCAUCCCGAGCUCAUCCUCUCUGCUUCCUGAAUGUGGUUAAGGAUGAACGGAUGAGCUCAGCUCACAGCUUCCAGCUCUGGCCACUGUGUUUGCUUGCUGCCACCCUUCCCGCUGAGAUGGCGAUGGACUCUUGUUCCUCAGGAACCAUAAGCCAAAAUUAAAACCUCCCUUCCGUAA